CCUACGGGUGGCUGCAGUGGGGAAUAUUGGACAAUGGGGGGAACCCUGAUCCAGCCAUGCCGCGUGUGUGAAGAAGGCCCUCGGGUUGUAAAGCACUUUCAGUGAGGAAGAACGCCUGGUGGUUAAUACCCAUCAGGAAAGACAUCACUCACAGAAGAAGCACCGGCUAACUCCGUGCCAGCAGCCGCGGUAAUACGGAGGGUGCGAGCGUUAAUCGGAAUUACUGGGCGUAAAGCGCGCGUAGGUGGCUUGAUAAGCCGGUUGUGAAAGCCCCGGGCUCAACCUGGGAACGGCAUCCGGAACUGUCAAGCUAGAGUGCAGGAGAGGAAGGUAGAAUUCCCGGUGUAGCGGUGAAAUGCGAAGAGAUCGGGAGGAAUACCAGUGGCGAAGGCGGCCUUCUGGACUGACACUGACACUGAGGUGCGAAAGCGUGGGUAGCAAACAGGAUUAGAUACACCAGUAGUC
RNAcentral lists this ribosomal RNA (465 nucleotides) under Vreelandella stevensii. RNAcentral describes it as "partial 16S ribosomal RNA". It matches the Rfam family "Bacterial small subunit ribosomal RNA", at positions 338 to 795 of the family's 1533-position model. The record is from RNAcentral. Lineage: Bacteria; Pseudomonadati; Pseudomonadota; Gammaproteobacteria; Oceanospirillales; Halomonadaceae.